GGUUAAGCGACUAAGCGUACACGGUGGAUGCCCUGGCAGUCAGAGGCGAUGAAGGGCGUGCUAAUCUGCGAUAAGCGCCGGUAAGGUGAUAUGAACCGUUAUAACCGGCGAUACCCGAAUGGGGAAACCCAGUGUGAUUCGUCACACUAUCAUUAACUGAAUCCAUAGGUUAAUGAGGCGAACCGGGGGAACUGAAACAUCUAAGUACCCCGAGGAAAAGAAAUCAACCGAGAUUCCCCCAGUAGCGGCGAGCGAACGGGGAGGAGCCCAGAGCCUGAAUCAGCAUGUGUGUUAGUGGAAGCGUCUGGAAAGGCGCGCGAUACAGGGUGACAGCCCCGUACACAAAAGCGCAUGUGCUGUGAGCUCGAUGAGUAGGGCGGGACACGUGGUAUCCUGUCUGAAUAUGGGGGGACCAUCCUCCAAGGCUAAAUACUCCUGACUGACCGAUAGUGAACCAGUACCGUGAGGGAAAGGCGAAAAGAACCCCGGCGAGGGGAGUGAAAAAGAACCUGAAACCGUGUACGUACAAGCAGUGGGAGCACAGGUUUACCUGUGUGACUGCGUACCUUUUGUAUAAUGGGUCAGCGACUUAUAUUCUGUAGCAAGGUUAACCGUAUAGGGGAGCCGGAGGGAAACCGAGUCUUAAUUGGGCGUUAAGUUGCAGGGUAUAGACCCGAAACCCGGUGAUCUAGCCAUGGGCAGGUUGAAGGUUGGGUAACACUAACUGGAGGACCGAACCGACUAAUGUUGAAAAAUUAGCGGAUGACCUGUGGCUGGGGGUGAAAGGCCAAUCAAACCGGGAGAUAGCUGGUUCUCCCCGAAAGCUAUUUAGGUAGCGCCUCGUGAAUUCAUCUCCGGGGGUAGAGCACUGUUUCGGCUAGGGGGCCAUCCCGGCUUACCAACCCGAUGCAAACUGCGAAUACCGGAGAAUGUUAUCACGGGAGACACACGGCGGGUGCUAACGUCCGUCGUGAAGAGGGAAACAACCCAGACCGCCAGCUAAGGUCCCAAAGUCAUGGUUAAGUGGGAAACGAUGUGGGAAGGCCCAGACAGCCAGGAUGUUGGCUUAGAAGCAGCCAUCAUUUAAAGAAAGCGUAAUAGCUCACUGGUCGAGUCGGCCUGCGCGGAAGAUGUAACGGGGCUAAACCAU
This 1150-nucleotide ribosomal RNA is filed under the name Salmonella enterica subsp. enterica serovar Berta. RNAcentral's name for it is "partial 23S ribosomal RNA". It matches the Rfam family "Bacterial large subunit ribosomal RNA", at positions 1 to 1190 of the family's 2925-position model. Lineage: Bacteria; Pseudomonadati; Pseudomonadota; Gammaproteobacteria; Enterobacterales; Enterobacteriaceae. The record is from RNAcentral. RNAcentral also lists the same sequence under 2 other names.